This 251-nucleotide ribosomal RNA is filed under the name uncultured prokaryote. RNAcentral describes it as "partial 16S rRNA". It matches the Rfam family "Bacterial small subunit ribosomal RNA", at positions 525 to 775 of the family's 1533-position model. The record is from RNAcentral.
ACGUAGGGUGCGAGCGUUAAUCGGAAUUACUGGGCGUAAAGCGUGCGCAGGCGGUUGUGCGAGACAGAUGUGAAAUCACCGGACUCAAACUGGGAACUGCAUUUGUGACUGCACGACAGGAGUACGGCAGUGGGGGGUAUAAUUCCACGUGUUGCAGUGAAAUGCGUAGAGAUGUGGAGGAAUUCCGAUGGCGAAGGCAGCCCCCUGGGCCGAUACUGACGUUCAUGCGCGAAAUCGUGGGGAGCAAACAG